This is a non-coding RNA of Doryrhamphus excisus (bluestripe pipefish), 2380 nucleotides long. The record is from RefSeq and is a predicted model, not a curated record. Lineage: Eukaryota; Metazoa; Chordata; Actinopteri; Syngnathiformes; Syngnathidae.
GAGAUCCAAGCAAUAAAGGUUUACUUUGAGCCUCUAUCUGCACCGGCUUACUUAAUUUCGAACUUUGGCGUCUGCAGUGCGCGUCGUCUCUCAUCCACUGUGGACGUACACGCAGACUUGUGACAGCGGGACCGUGAAGAUGACAGAAAAGGAUCUCCGCCUCCCUGAUUAUAGAUGUCACAUGGCCUCCAAUUCCAGCCUUGGCGUACCACACUGAGACCCUGGUCCGCCUCUCAGGGGUGUAAUAAACAGCUUAAACCAGUCUACCAGCCAUCUCCAAUGUGUGGGUUACCAAAGAGGCCAUGCUUGACUGAAAGGUGGGGAUCAGUGAAGCUCUUCUGUGCCUUGGCUCCCCUGGCUUAAGGAGGGCUUAGGUGUGGAUGUCAUUUGCUUUUUCUUCCUGGUCAGAGUGGCUCGAUGAUAAUUGUGGGGUGUAGUGACUUUAGCUUCUGUUGCCAUGGGGAAAAAGUUUGCCUAAAUUGAAAUCUUAGUAGCGUGUCUGAGAAUCGGGACGACUUCAGCUCCAUGAAGCAGUUAUAAGACACAGCAUGGAGAAGAAUUUUGACUUUUGACGCAUUUCAUCAUCCACUGUGUAGUGUCUGCGUUGAACCUGAGUCCUUUCCUCUUAAUUUUAUUCCAUUUCACUGUUCAGUGGACCAACCUUGGAGGAAGCCACACUUUCAGCAAUGAGGUCAAUCUUAAAAUUCAACCUGCAUUCAGAUGAAUUCACUUAUAUCUGAUUUAAUGUCAAAGAGCUGGCACUGAUAGGUGAAUUAAGAAGAAACGAUCGUUAUGUAUUUCUAGAUAAUGUCAAGAACCGAAUCCAAGGGAUAUUGCUUUUGUAAUAAACAAGACAAAAAGCCAUUUCAAAUCCUCUGUGGUUUACGAAAGGUCCCGGUUAACAUCCGUCGUGGGCUUGGAAUCAAACGCCUGCACUGGCAUCGCCACGUGCUGAUAUGAUUUACCGGUAUUCUCUCCCUCAGGACCUUUCAAAUGAACAGAAAUGUAUGCUCAGCUGCCCUGUACAUGUAACCUCUGUGUUCUCUGCGGACCGCUGUGCUGUAAUAUGAUAAGUGUCUUGUCAAUAGCUUGUAUGAUAUGCUAAUCAUACUAAAACACCGUGCCUCAGGCGGUCCCCUUGUUUAUUUAUGAAGGCUUGACCUGAGGGAGAAGAAUAAUCGGCUUUUCUCUGAACUCUGUAACCCUGGGAGCCAAGGGAACUGCCAAUCACACACAUCUGAGUCCUAUAAUUCCCCCACCUCUUUUUCUCGCUUUUUCUGCUCCGCCUUGAAUGAAAUGGCAGAUUUAUGCAAACAGUGCCGCAUGUGCAUUUUUCCUGUCCGGUUCAUGUCAAAUCACUGCGGUAAGUAUAAAGUGGGUCUGACAUAAACAAGUUAUCUGUAGCCUGUCAAAUUGUUUCUGUCACAAUUUAGCAAAUGUAACACGUCAUGAUAAAUGCAAACCAAAUUAAAUUGAAGUCCAGUGGAGAACCUUGGGUUUUUUAACAAAAUAAUUACAAUUAGAAUAAUCAACAAGAAGACUGGCAUAUGUGUUGAUCUGAGGCAGGGGAUCACAAUAUGUGGCCCGCGGGCCACAUUCGUCCUGCCAUGGCUUUUCAUUUGACUUCCCAAACAUUAUCAUAACAAUGUAAACCAUUUAGUCUAAUUUCAUCUAGUCCUUUCUACACUCUGCAGGGGGCAACAGUGAGGAGUAUGCGUCACAGGCUCAUGUUUAAAGGGGAGCUAUUAUGCAUUUUUCCACUUUUCUGAUCUAUAAAUAUUGUUGGAUGUUGUAUCCUUGCGUUAAACAAUGCUAAAGUCUCAGAUAAUGAGGUUUGCACAUUUGCAAAUGAGCCCUGAGAGGGAUAGUCCUGAAUGCUUGGUUUCAGAGAGUUUUUUCCAACACCUUAUAUGGGCGUGCCCAGGUACAAGCUGUAGGCCUGCCCCCCACUGCUCUGCUGUUCAAGAACGCUAAGUUGCCUAAAAAGGUACACAUCAGGCAGACGUGGUUGGAGUGGCAGAUUCCUGGCCAGCAAGAGAAAAAUAUAGGACUGUUUUGUGAAGGUGGGUGAAGCUGGUAAAACUGUUGAUAAAGUCUGAUGCCUUACGAACCUUACUUGCUCACGUUGAAGAGGAGAGAUUAACUUAUUAUCAACUCUUAUACUGACAAAAUUACAAAGUGAGAUUCGGUAGUAGUCCCAAAGUCCUCGAGAGCGCUUAGGAGUGUGACCAAUCAAAGCAGAGUAGGUGGACCAUGGGUGGAGUAAAUUAAAACACAGUUUUGGAAUAGCUGGAAUAGGUGCAGAUUCUGGAAGAUCUAAAAUGUGUGGACUAUCGUGUGUAAUGGCUCUAUAGGAGUCGUCAAGUCAAGUUUAUUUAUA